UACGAACUGUGCAAACGUUAUUCGGAUUCACUGGGCUUAAAGGGUGCGUAGGCGGCCAUGUAAGUAGGGUGUGAAAUCCCCCGGCUUAACCGGGGAACUGCGCCCUAAACUGUGUGGCUUGAGUGAGAUAGGGGUGUGUGGAACUUCCGGUGGAGCGGUGAAAUGUGUUGAUAUCGGAAGGAACGCCGGUGGCGAAAGCGACACACUGGGGCUCAACUGACGCUGAGGCACGAAAGCCAGGGGAGCGAACGGG
This 253-nucleotide ribosomal RNA is filed under the name uncultured bacterium. RNAcentral's name for it is "partial 16S ribosomal RNA". It matches the Rfam family "Bacterial small subunit ribosomal RNA", at positions 524 to 776 of the family's 1533-position model. The record is from RNAcentral.